Long non-coding RNA from Cucurbita moschata (crookneck pumpkin), 544 nucleotides. RefSeq lists it as uncharacterized. The transcript has 2 exons. Lineage: Eukaryota; Viridiplantae; Streptophyta; Magnoliopsida; Cucurbitales; Cucurbitaceae. The record is from RefSeq and is a predicted model, not a curated record.
GAGAGGUUUCACGAUGCCUUUCUACAAGCAAUACAAAGGGACCAAAACAAAGCCAACUGGUUUGGUUGGCUAUGUCUUCCACCGGGACUAUGCUAUUUCUCCACACAACGUUGCUUUGUUGGUGCACGAGAACCCCGGCCCCGACACAGCGGUGACUCGGGACUCCUUGACUCAGUUCGAUAACCUAUAUGGAAUUGUCGCUGAUGAAGGUAUCGAUGUAAAGGCUGCAAACUAUAUUUCCUCCACUCUAGCACGGUUCAAAAGUUUGAAUGAGUUAACUCCGACAGAAAUACUGUCUCCUCCGUUGGCUCGUCGUGAGAUUUAAUGACUUCUCCCUCCUGCAUUGUGUGACGUCAUGCUUGUUCAAGGCGUGUUGUCGGAUGCCCCAAUCAUGCUUGUUCAAGACGUGUUGUCUAUAGCCGCAUGUUCGUUCCAAACCUCUUUUACAUGCUUUCAUCUUAGAUAGGUCUUUACUAUUUCAUGUUGUGUCAAUAUGGAAAUAUAUGACCGUUCACCGAAAUCAUGUCUACAACUAUUAUAGCUU